CCAGCCCUGUGAGAAGAGGUAAUUUUGCAAAUUAGCCCAAGAACCCUGAAUGAGUUAACCCCUGUGAAGCAGGAGUGCAUCUCGCUCCACCACCAAAGGUUUAGGCCUGCACGUUCCAGACCCUUCUGCUGCCUUCUCCCUCUGGGCCUGUUCACGUCACUCCAGCUCUUCUCCAAGGAGCCGGCUGGGUCUGGCCGGAGACGCUGCCAGCUCCACGGAGCCGUCAGCCUUCAGAGCAGCACCUUGGGCCAGGAAACACGGACAGGGGGAGUUCUGUGUGCGACUAAUGGACCCCAGAUAGAGCCACUCUUCAGUCACUGCCGUCACUUGAAAAUGCAUUUCCAGUUGACAAUAGCCGUCUGCCUAUAGAUAGCUCCACGCAAAGAUGGCUGGUCAGGCUGCUCUCCCAGAUGCCUGGGUCAGCAAUUUCCAAAGCAUCCAGUCAGCAGUUCCUGCUUCCUCCAGCAAAGUCUGGCUCUCUCCUCCCAUCUCCCAGUCCCAGGACAGGGUCCGGGCCUAGAGGGGACAGUGGCCGCCCCAAUCCGUUGCCAACAGCAGGCCCCUCUCUCUGCGCUGCCUCCAGGCCCCCAGAUGCCGACAAAGCCCAGAGCGAGCAGGCAACUCCCCACAGGACUCAGUGAACCAGGUUUGAACCCAGGUCGGCUGAUUUAUGCCCAUGUGUGUCUAUGCUGUUUAUAUGCGGGAACACACGUGCAUAUGGCUGUGUGCACAUAUAGGUGCACACAUAACUACGAGUGUUUGUGCGUCUGUGAGUGUAUGUAGGCAUAUGCACACAUGUACCUGUACACGCCUGUGUGUUCACGUGUGCGUAUGAGUGGGUCUGUGUGCAGAUGCGUAAGUAUAUGGGUGUGUCUUUAUAUGUACUUCCCCGUUCGUGUCCGUAGUCAGCUAUCCACAGCAGCAGGAGGCAGGUGUUCCAUGGCUGUGUCCCCUGAAGCCGUUCUCCAAGGUCCCCUUGGCUACUGCCUGCUGGCCUCACUUCUCAGGCUCCCUCCCACCCUCCCCUGGGCCCCAGCCUGUGGCUUCCAUCCCUCAGCUCUGCUGCUGCCCAGGUCCCAGUUUCUGCAAAGGCCACCGGGACCUCCAGAUGCUCCCCUGGCCACGUCAGGCGACUGCAGGGGAACAGGAUGGUCCAGGCCCUAAGCAGAGGCCUAGAAACGGAUGCUCCAGCCAUGGCGCUCGGUGUGAGGAACGAAGGUUCUUGGAAGGAAGUGAAAUCCCCUCUCACUUAACAGCCUAAUAAGUAUUUGAACCUGAGUCAGUGAGGACUUGUCAGUUGUAGUGUUUUCUCAGAGGCGAAGGACACGUCUCAGCUUUCAAGCCCACGGGGGAGGGACGUGACCAGCUGGAGAAGGGCAGGUGGAGGCCUCUGGCACGGGCUCCGCCUGGCCUGAGCAUCCCGAGAGGCCCCGGGAAACUGUGCAGGGCCUCGCUAGACGUGGGGCUGGCGGCAGAGCGGAUGUGCAGGUGAGAGUCGGGGCAGCCUCCCACGGAGACCGUGGGGAAAUGAAGUCAGCGAGGCGUGGCCAGAAGCCAGCUUGAAGACGGUUCCAGAUGCCUGGGCCCCCUGAUGCACGUGGAAGGAGGGGCCGGCGGAAUGAGAGGGUCAGGAAAUUCGUCACCAGAUUCAUGCUCGGUGACUAGCUUGCAAAAGGUCAGGUUGAGCCAUUUAGGCCAUCUCAGGUUCUCUGCAGCUGUGCCCCCUCCCACUGUCUCCUUUCUGGUUCUUUAGCACGGGGGCACAUCUGCCCCCAGGCUCAGCCCAGCUGCCCCCUGCCGGGGAAGCCCUGCCGGCCCCCUGGCUGGCAGCUCCUGGUCAUCCAGUCCCAGCCUGCCUUCCCGGACCACCUCCCUUGAGCUGCCCUCAAAUCCGGCCUGACACCCUCCUUCCCUAAUCGGUUUUGUGUCCCUCGCCUGGCAUGAUCCCUCUUGAGCUCCUUGCUAGUUAUUCUCUUUCUCUCCCUGAAACGUGAGCUUCCUGGCAGUCACGUGCCUCUUGUGUGCUGACCGUGCGGCAUUUCCAGAGCCUGGACAAGGACCAGCACGCAGUCCAGGCUCCAUAAAUGCUUGUUGAAUGAGGAGUGAUUAGCCACAUCAACAGGACUGGCCUCGCGGAAUCAUUUAAUGACAGCAUCAGGCUGUCACGGCUUGUAGCCCGCGCCUUGGAGCACCUGCAGAAACAUUCUCUGCGCUCAAGGAGCAGAGGGAACCGCCAGCCCUCUCUGCAAGGGCCGGCUUGUAGGAGCAAGAGGGAGCCUGGGGGUCCUUGGUGCCGGCCACAAAGCCAGUGCUGGGUUUGUUUAGAAUCGCGCUCAGAAUGAAGGACGACUCUUAAGCUGGAGAUCUCUUAAUACAACAAGCAAACACCACAGGUUUUUCCAAGGCUGCUGCCACCAGGCGGGCGGGGCGCAGGCUCCCUUUCUUGGCUUGCUUCUGCCAUCUGCUGGCCAUGCAUUGAAAUGCAUUGAAAGGGGGUUUAUUGUCCAGUCUCUUGCAUACUUCUGCUUCCUUCUGGGAUGAUCGAUCUCCUUGCCAAUUUUAUUCCCCACCCCACCCCCUCGGCAGGAGCUGCCUAGAUGACCCAUCCCUUGAGUAGGGCAGACUCUAGGCCCCAGGUGGGCUGGAGAAAGUCACCUGGCCCUGCAUCCUGUGACUUUCCCUCAUUUUUACAUACAGUAACUCUGUUAACACUCAGGAUCAAACCUACUGAGCAAGGACAUUUUUUACAGAGAGGGCGUGAAGGCGCAGAGAGGUCACGUGAACUGCUCAGAGUUGCAUAGCACAGGCGGUGGAGCCAAGCAGUAAGGCAUCUGAGGGCACAUUCUAUCAACAACCAUCACGGCCCAGGUCCCCCCGCUCCAGGGCCCCACUGGAGCGCUGAGAAAAGCUGGAUGUGUACAGAGUGGAGGAUGGAGGAGAGGAGCCCUGCAGCCCAUGCUCUCAGAGGUCUAGAGGAGCCUCCGUAUUUGGAGCCUUCCUCUUCAGACCUAGAAAACGGGAGCAUUGGACUACAGGCUUUCCAUGUUCCAUGCAGGUUCUGGACAGGACAGAGGUACAGAGGUCAGCACAGGCUCUUUGGGCAGAGAGACCCAGCCAAGGUAAAGACCAGACACUUCCCCCCACUAUAACUCUGUGAAUAGGAGGGAAGGUGUUGUGAUCUCCAAGCCUCGCUCUUGAGGAAGAUAAAAUGAGGUCAAGUGCAAAGCUUUUUGCGCUGUGAUGCUCAGAGAAAGUGCUUAAUAAAUAUCGCCAGUUGUUAUAAUGACAUUAAAGGCUCUGAGAAGUCCUGCAGGAAGUACCCUGCUCAAUUUCAGCUCAGCCUCUCCCUAUCCUAGCUGCCUACAGCACCACCGCAGAGCCCUGUGAGAUCCAUUGUCCCACAGAAUCCGUUUGCCCUCAUUGGUUUAAACCGCUUCCCAGAGCGACGAGGGCCUCAAUUCCCACCAAGAGUAGAAUCAGAGCAGGAGCUCUGUGCUCUGAGCUCUGUACUCUUUCUUGCUUUCACCACUUCUCUGUAUCCCAAAGCAGUUCCCAUAGCCAAUGAACAAAAGAACCAGGAGCCAUUCUCCAGGCUCCCAAGAUGAAAUAUUUCACAUUUGGAUUCUGCAAUGCGCAUUGUCAGUGUUAUGGACCACAGGCAAUUAAGAGUCCAAGCCCGGGAAGCCUGUUGUUAAUAAUUCUGUCAUUAUUCUCAAUUUUCAGCACCACCACACAGGAAACACCCAUUUCCAAUUUCUUUAAAGGUGCUAAAUGGCUUUGGCACUGUGUCGUGAAAGUUUACCGUCAGCCAAAUGGCUGCAAAGUGGACUCUGGGGCUGUGACAACUGCUGGUUUGGCCUGACCCACCGGGGUGACCCCUUUCUCAGAGUGUCUUGUUCUCAGGACAGGUGACUUGGACCGCGCGGCCCUGGGGCAUAUGCAGCCUGGCUGGGCGGUGCUGACUACAGGGAUUUCACAAGGCCCAGCACACAGGAUGCCAACAGAAAACCACUCCUUCCUGCUGAGGCAACACCCCAGGAACGGAUGGAGAAACCGGUGAGCAGCCUCUCUGACCAGGGUCGGAGUCAAGAAACGGAAGUGAGUGGGCAUCUGAGGCAUGUCUGCAGAGCCAGCGAGUGGGAGGACAAGUUCAAGUGGCCAGGCCACGGAGGCCACCGCGCUGCUUCUCCUCCUCAGGGCAGUGAUGCCCUUGAACCAGAAGCCUGAGCCUUUAGCAGCAGUGACAAGGCCUGGAUGCAGACGAUGCCACGCCAGUAGCCAGGACAGGCCGUGGUGACCUGCACGCACUUUAGCCCACCAGCCAGCCCUCUGAGCACUUUCCAGAGUAACUCUUCUCCUGAGAUCCCUGGGAGGUGCCCCGUUAGGAUUGUCCCGUUUCACAAAGGAAGGACAGGACAGGGAGAGGCCAGGAACUUUCCAACGUCGCACUGAGGACGAGGCCCAGAGGAUGCUACAAGGAGCCCGGCCAGGGGAGGCAGGACUUGUGCGGCUUCCUUUCCGAAUCCCUGCUCCCAGCCACGCCCCUCCCGUGAAGCCCCUUUCAGCCCCAUUCCUCAGAGUCCUGUCUGCUGCCUGCCACCCCAUGAUGCAGAGGCUCAGGGCUGACUGCUGGAGCGACGAAUGGACGAUGGCGAAGGGCAAUGUGUGUGCCCCGAGGACACGCGCUCCCACCAGGUCAGGAGUGGUCAGGAGAGAAGUCUGUGGCUGUCUGGAAGGCAGACAUGACACGCUGUGCAGUGAGCUCUGACGGGCGGGCCCUGGGGAAGCUCCUGCUUGUUGCUGCUGAUGGCACUGCGCCUGGUUGUCAUGGGGCAGGAAGGGGACCAGAAGCUCCUCCAGCUCUGAGUCCUGGCCCAGGUGGGUGACCAGCGACAUGUGAGGGUGCCUCCUUCUGCAGGUCACAUGGGUCUCCAGUUCAGAGGUAGUCCGAGACAGGCAGGUUCCAGGCCAGUCCAUUCCUUUCGCUCUAGUUUCUCCCCCCUCCCUCCUGCUUUGGGUCCUGCCUGGCUGGCCCCUGGGAACUUCAGGCCAACCACCAAUGGGAAGGCAUCAGCCUUCUGGAGACUUGCUCACCGCCUGCCACCCCGCCAUCCCCGCCGGAGGCCCAGCCCCACGGUAAAUCUCAUCCCACAUCCCUCAAAGGGCUUCAUCAAGGGAGCACAACUGCUUAUCAACACAGUCCACUAGGUGUUCCCAAGGCUGAGAUUAAACUCUAGGGACUCAGGUCCACCUGAGAGUGGCAUGAAAGCCGUGGGCUCUGUCACAGGCAUGUCCCUGAAUAUAAAGUGUUUAGCCCAUUGCUGGGUAUGGGCCAGUGAGGCUCAGGCUUUCACGUGCACACGUGUCACCUGGGAUCCUGUUCUCGCUGAAGUGCGGACACAGGUGCAGCAGGUCUGGGGCGGGGGCCAGGAUGCUACAGUCCGAACAAGCUCCCAGGUGAUGCCGGUACUGCUGGGCCACAGACCACACUUUGAGCAGCCAGGUGUCAGAGGUUCAUGAACCCCACAUGAGGAGAAGCCCACAAAGGUUUGCCCAAUAGUCUGAAUAGUUUGCCCAAACUUUCCCACAUACAUCGUGAGAGGCACUGCCUAAUACUCAGAGCCGCUGCUUCAUAAAUAUUUGCUGACCGGACAAGUAAUCUGGCAGUUUUCAUAGCAGCUCAUCCUGAGUUGACCUCCCUCAGCCAUCUGCACCCCCAGCUCCCCAUUACAGCUCCCGUCGUUCACUCGUGGGGGUUCAGAGACCAGAGACCCAGGAUCCUCACCACAGUCUAGGGAGAAAAAUGAGCCUGUGACUCAAAGGCUGCAGGCAUGACUUUCAGGGGCAAAAAAGAAAGGCAAGGGCAGGCCUGUUACAGAUGCGGGUCUGGGCAGGCCCAUUACAGAUGCGGGUUUGGGCAGGCCUGUUACAGAUGCGGGUUUGGGCAGGCCUGUUACAGAUGUGGGUUUGGGCAGGCCUGUUACAGAUGCGGGUUUGGGCAGGCCUGUUACAGAUGCGGGUCUGGGCAGGCCUGUUACAGAUCCAGGUUCCCAGGGCCCCAGCCCAGACCCGCCUAAUGAGUCUCUGGAUGUGGGACCCCGCAACUGUGUUGCUACAAGCUCCCCAAGGGAUUCUGGCACAGGGCAGCUGAGCUUCCAGGCACUGUUACUGCCCAUCCUGCAGCCAUCCGUCCUCAGCGUGGACCAGCAAGGGGCUCUGGCCACUUAUCUGUCACUUCAGCUUGCAGUGAUGAAGCGGCCACCUCGUGACAGGAGCAGCAGAGAGAAAAAAACCCGCAGAGGUGGGUCCACACAGAUGCACCCUCAGAAGGCCCGCCUGCAGCAGGCAGAAGGCAAACAGGCGGCGAGGGGGUGCACCUCCGUAGCGCCACGUGAGGGGGCGCUGGCAGGAGCCGCCGGGGCCCGGAAGAAACUUGACCUGAACCAUGAUGUUAGCACCUGCUGCCCAGGGGGGCGGGGUGGGGGCAGGCAAAUCUCAGUGUGACUGGGAUAUAGGAUUCCAGGCAGGGCGUGGGAGGGACAGGCGGGAGGGGCACGUCUGCCAUCCAGGAGCACAGCCUGUGAAAGCUGCGCCCACCACCUACUCCUACCCAGGGAGUUGAAUCGCCACAUUCCAUAGGGUGCCUGGGAAGCCCAGAGUAUCGCCCGCUCCUCAGAAUCGAAAUGAAUAUCACCCAUCUGAAGACAGUUUGCAAUAAAAUAGUCUUUACCGUUAUUGAGAGUUUGCCCUGAUCCUGCCAACCCCCGUGCUUGAUUUAAAAUCCUUCCAUCUGGAAUUAUUAAGGGCAGUUUAUCAAAGUAAAGAUGGAUGGCGUAAGCAGAUUUUGCUGCUGGCAUUCAGAAAGACGUGUUAUCCCCCUGCCAUUCAGCAAACGUUCUUUAAUCACGGUUGAUUGAAGGUUACCAGCUCUGAAUUAUUAGUUAAUGGCAUCUCUGCAAAAGAAUGAUUUAUUGGGCAAGUAAACUUUGCAAACGAACGCAGAUUCUGAAUUGCUGGGUAUUUCAUCCAAAGCUGAAAUGUGCAUUAUUUGGACAGUGUGUCUUCAGAGCGGAAACAAAGCCCAGAGCAGAGGCUAACAUUUAGCCUUGAGCUGGGGUUUCCCUGUGCUUUCAGGGACUGGAACCCCGUUUCCCUUCGCUGGGUCCCUAUCCUGAAACACCGGCCUGGCCGGGCCAGCACCCAGGGAACUCACAUCAGCCUCCAGCCCAGCCUUUCACAUGAGGGACAACUCAGCAUCUGAGCCCCUCACCUGGACCCACCUCAACCCUGUCAACAUAGCAGUUCUUAGGGACGAGGGACAAGGCGGUGAGGGGCCUGUCUUCUCCCUGGGCCACAGUUCUCAGAAUCCCGAGCCUCAGACCCUCAGGAGCGCUCCCUGAUACACAGAGUACUGGCCCACCCCUGUUGCUGAGUCUGUCGAUCUGAGGACGUGCACUUAAACUCCUGGGCGAUGCUGCUGGGCUGAGGCACACCACUUUGAGAGCCACUGCUGCAGUCUGAGUCAGAGGCUUCUGAUCCAGGACAAAGGUUACCAGAAGCCCUGGAUAACACCCAACAGGGGAUCAAAAGUGCGGCUUCUAUUUCAGCCUCAAAAAUAACCAACCCGAGGAUCAUGAGAAACUGGUGCCAAUGAGAUCACUCUGUGCCCUGAGCAAGGGCUCCCUGCCUGCCCAGCUUGGGGAGCAUCAGCCUAGGAAGGUCAGCAGAGCCUCGGAGGACCCCAGACCAAAUCCCUAUGCCCCCCCACCCCCCGACCAGCAGGUCAGCAUAAGCAGCCCCUGGGGUCCCGGUGAGCAGAGCAGAGACAGUGAUGGCCCAGCCAGGUGAUUUGCCAGGAGGAUUAUCACAGUGGUACAUGGAGAAGCCCUGUGUGCUUGGCACAUCCUCAGCGCCCAAUUAAAGCAGCUGCUGAGAAUAAUACUUUUAAAGAGCCACUCCACCAGGUUCUGCCCCAGACGCCUUGUGCUGCUUGAAGAGCCAGGAAUGUGCUCGGAGAUCAGCUACAUUACAGUCCUGCAUGUCCGUGUGCUUUCUCAGUCGAGUGUCUUCCUUGUUCCGAGUUUUGGCAUUCAUCAGCUCCCCUGCCCCCUGCCCCUGGCACCAGGCUGGGCAGAAGGAAGAGUUGGACCAAAGUCCUGCCCACAGCCCCUCCCCAAGGGCAGUGAUUCAUUUCUGCCCACAUCUGUCCCCCUUCGGAAGCUGUCAUGAAAGCCUGAUGCUGGCACCCGAGUUGCUGUGAGUUCCACUAGUGACUAGCAGUGAUUUUCAUGCCGCUGCUCAGAGACAGGGCUGGAGCAGCUGUGAAGUGCCGUUGGCUUAAACCCCUGCUUCUUCCAUUUGAGGUGUUCAUUUGCUAAAUGACCCAGCCUAAUCUUGCUGUCAAGAUUGCAGAACAAAGGGAGCUUGGCGGCAGGGCUCUGAAAAUCUCUUAAGCAAAGGAGCUGCAAGUGGCAUUUCACUGAAGCUUGAUCGCUCAGGCCGUCCUGGCAGAAGCUGGAGCUGUGAGCGUCCCGGGCUGGCUGACAUUUGCACCGGGCUGCCUGCCUGUGGCUGAGUUACAUCAGCUCUCCCGGGGCUGCCUCCAGAGAGCAAGUUUCUAAAUGUAAGCCCUCGGCCCGUCAUAUAUGUAUCUACUCUCAUGGUGGCCACGCUCAGAGGCUGUGAUCAGGGUGUGACCAGAGGACAUUCUUGAAAUGGGGUCCCUGCUUGGGGGGGGGCUGGUCCCCAUGGCUACUUUAGAACUUGCAUGGCUCCCCUCUGGCCCGUCCCCGAGAGGGCAAACUCUUCCUGACCAGUCCGAGGACAGAAUUCAGCCCAUCGGUCCUGAAAUCUGUAACACAUCAUCACUCAACCAUUACUAGCAGCAGAGGGACGCUCUUGCCCCCACUUGGAAGAAUGUGGCCUCACUGGCAAAUGGAGCCGUUCACAUGCAGACGAGCUUCAAGACAAGAGCUUCUAGGCUGGGACAGACAGAGAUGCCCUCGGCCCGGGUCCCUGAAUCUCGCCCCUCCCCCAAUUCCCGCCGUCACCCGUUUCCGCGCCCUCGUGACUCUGUGAUGCUGUUUAUAGCGAUGCACUUUCCUAACCUGCGUGUUAACUUUAGCUGCAUCCUAAGCACUACCAUACGUAAUGUCAUGGGUUUGGCAUAUGCUGGCUACUCUUUUUUCUAAUAGGAGCUUCAUUAAAAUCUGCAGAAGGAGAAAAGGAAGCUCUUCUGUGUGCCUUUGAUGAGCAGGAAUGAAACCAGCGGAGAGCAGGGCACACUCCAGAAACAUCACUUUACUGCUGUCCUCACACUCUAUGCAGGAAAAAGCAGUAAUGGCCAGGCCUUUGCACACGUCGUUUCUUCUGCCCCCCCCCAGU
This is a non-coding RNA of Sus scrofa (pig), 9384 nucleotides long. NCBI's taxonomy places the organism in Eukaryota, Metazoa, Chordata, Mammalia, Artiodactyla, Suidae. The record is from RefSeq and is a predicted model, not a curated record.